CACGUAGGGGGCGAGCGUUGUCCGGAUUUAUUGGGCGUAAAGAGCUCGUAGGCGGCUCGGUAAGUCGGGUGUGAAAUUUCGAGGCUCAACCUCGAAACGCCACCCGAUACUGCUGUGGCUAGAGUCCGGUAGGGGAGCGUGGAAUUCCUGGUGUAGCGGUGAAAUGCGCAGAUAUCAGGAGGAACACCAGCGGCGAAGGCGGCGCUCUGGGCCGGUACUGACGCUGAGGAGCGAAGGUCAGGGGAGCAAACGGG
This 254-nucleotide ribosomal RNA is filed under the name uncultured bacterium. Its description in RNAcentral is "partial 16S ribosomal RNA". It matches the Rfam family "Bacterial small subunit ribosomal RNA", at positions 524 to 776 of the family's 1533-position model. The record is from RNAcentral.